This 1174-nucleotide ribosomal RNA is filed under the name Gomphaceae sp. M151-OL. Its description in RNAcentral is "eukaryotic LSU rRNA". It matches the Rfam family "Eukaryotic large subunit ribosomal RNA", at positions 56 to 1124 of the family's 3401-position model. The record is from RNAcentral. Lineage: Eukaryota; Fungi; Basidiomycota; Agaricomycetes; Gomphales; Gomphaceae.
UAUUAGACUAACAGGAUUCCCCUAGUAACGGCGAGUGAAGCGGGAAGAGCUCAAAUUUUAAAUCUGGCGGACUCCGGCCGUCCGAGUUGUAAUCUAGAGAAGCGUCAUCCGCGCCGGACCGCAUAUAAGUCCCCUGGAACGGGGCGUCGCAGAGGGUGAGAAUCCCGUCUUUAAUGCGGACCGCCGGUGCUAUGCGAUGCGCUCUCAAAGAGUCGAGUUGUUUGGGAAUGCAGCUCAAAACGGGUGGUAAAUUCCAUCUAAAGCUAAAUAUUGGCGAGAGACCGAUAGCGAACAAGUACCGUGAGGGAAAGAUGAAAAGCACUUUGGAAAGAGAGUCAAACAGUACGUGAAAUUGUUGAAAGGGAAACGAUUGAAGUCAGUCGCGUCCGCCGGGAUUCAGCCUCGCUUCUCGCUCGGCGUAUUUCCUGGUGUGACGGGUCAACAUCGAUUUCGACCGUCGGAUAAGGAUCGAAGGAAUGUGGCAUCUUCGGGUGUGUUAUAGCCUUUGGUCGCAUGCGUCGGUCGGGAUCGAGGAACUCAGCACGCCUUUAUGGUCGGGGUUCGCCCACGUAACGUGCUCAGGAUGUUGGCAUAAUGGCUUUAAACGACCCGUCUUGAAACACGGACCAAGGAGUCUAACAUGUCUGCGAGUGUUUGGGUGCAAAACCCGAGCGCGUAAUGAAAGUGAAAAGUUGGGACCCCUCUCGGGGGCACCGACGCCCGAGCCGGACCUCUUGCGAUGGCUUCGAGGUAGAGCAUAUAUGUUGGGACCCGAAGAUGGUGAACUAUGCCUGAAUAGGGGCGAAGCCAGAGGAAACUCUGGUGGAGGCUCGUAGCGAUUCUGACGUGCAAAUCGAUCGUCAAAUUUGGGUAUAGGGGCGAAAGACUAAUCGAACCAUCUAGUAGCUGUCUGCCGCUUCUCUCUCCCCACAGAGGAAGAAACCCUUUUUAGAGAGGGGCGCGCACAUAAACCUCCGCGCCCUAAAACCCAAAAUUUGGACGAUGGAUUUGCACGUAAGAAUCGCUACGAGCCUCCACAAGAGUUUCUUCUGGCUUCGCCCUAUUCAGGCAUACUCCCAUUCUUUCGGUCACAUUAUAUUCUCUACUCGAGCAUCCAGAGUCGGCUCGGGCUCGGUCCGAAGGUCCUAUGAUCAUACGCUCGUUACCAACUCGC